AUUGAACGCUGGCGGCAGGCCUAACACAUGCAAGUCGAGCGGGGACUUCGGUCCUAGCGGCGAACGGGUGAGUAAUGCUUGGGAAUCUGCCCAGUAGUGGGGGAUAACGUCCCGAAAGGGACGCUAAUACCGCAUACGUCCUACGGGAGAAAGAGGGGGAUCUUCGUACCUCUCGCUAUUGGAUGAGCCCAAGUCGGAUUAGCUAGUUGGUAGGGUAAUGGCCUACCAAGGCGACGAUCCGUAGCUGGUCUGAGAGGAUGAUCAGCCACACUGGAACUGAGACACGGUCCAGACUCCUACGGGAGGCAGCAGUGGGGAAUAUUGGACAAUGGGCGAAAGCCUGAUCCAGCCAUGCCGCGUGUGAAGAAGGCCUUCGGGUUGUAAAGAACUUUAAGCGGGGAGGAAGGUUCGCGGCCUAAUACGUCGCGGAAUUGACGUUACCCGCAGAAUAAGCACCGGCUAACUCUGUG
RNAcentral lists this ribosomal RNA (470 nucleotides) under uncultured bacterium. RNAcentral's name for it is "partial 16S ribosomal RNA". It matches the Rfam family "Bacterial small subunit ribosomal RNA", at positions 30 to 507 of the family's 1533-position model. The record is from RNAcentral.